RNAcentral lists this long non-coding RNA (1353 nucleotides) under Gossypium barbadense (sea-island cotton). RNAcentral describes it as "long non-coding RNA (GBAR_LNC001405)". The record is from RNAcentral. Lineage: Eukaryota; Viridiplantae; Streptophyta; Magnoliopsida; Malvales; Malvaceae.
UAAAAGAGAAUUUUAAAAUAAUAAUUUUAUAAAAAACAAAGUAAAAUUAUCAAAGUAAUUCAAAAUAUAUACAAACAAUUAAAAAAUGAAUGUUAACUGAAUUUUAAAAAUAAUGAAUUAUAUAAAUUAAAAAGACUCAAUUAAAAUAAAAUUAAACUAAAAGAGAUACUUAAUAAAUAAAAUAAACCAUUGAAAUUGAAAAAAGGACUAAAGCGCAAUGCGCGCGAAUGCUCAGGGAUCAAAACUAGAAAUAUUCUAGCUCCCAAAACACAGCGUUUAAACGCGGACCAAAUUGAAUAUAUGCGUGAAUUACAGAGAUUAAUUAAAAACAGAGAAAAAAAAUAAGGCCUAAUUGAAUGACCAUGCAAAAGGGAGGGAUCAAUUGCGCAAAUGUUCCCUUUAAGCAGAACACGCGGAUCCUCCUGGGUAACCGGAUCGGGUCGGAUCGAGCAUGGCCUAUACAGUACCGUUUUAGAGCCAUUGAAAUAGGCUUAAAAUGGCACCGUUUUUGCUCCUUUAUAAAGGCUAAAAUCAAGCCAAAUUCGGUCGAACUAAACCCUAUCCCCUUUUGACUCUCCUUCAACCGAUCCCUAAUCUCAUUUUUAAACACCAGUCUACCAUUAUCAAAGUGACUUAAAGGAUUCAGACCUUGAAAGAUGCCAUUCUCGGCCAGGAAAUCCCUUCCACGCUCCAAUUUCAACGAAGCAGAUGAAAUCUCUUAGCGUAUUCAUAAGGUAAAGCUCUUGUUUUCUCUUUGUUUUUCCAAUACAUAUAAACUCUAAUGAAAGACUAAUAGAACCGAAAGAGAAAAGAAAAAUUAAAGAAUAUUUGAAUCAAAAAUCACCUUUUCAAUUUUGAUUGCUUUCUUUUCAAUAUGCGUGUGUUUUUCAAUACAUUGUUGUACUUGGCUUUUUAUAGCCAAAAUGUAAAAUCAAAUACACGUUUCUUUUUUUGCUUUCUCCUUUGCUGUAUUCUGUUGUGGUUUGUUAAUUUGUUACAGGAGGAGCCAGCUGGAGGUGGUGGCUCACGUGGAGACCGAUUCCAUGCGAGGCUGCGGCGCAAACUAGUCCUUGGGUUUCAGCUCUUGAAACCGAAGUUUGGGUCAUUUGGGUCCGUGAUUUGGGCCAUUGUAAUAGGCUGUUAAUUUUGUUAGGGAUUUGGGUUUAUUGUUGAGCUAAUAAAUGUAAAUGGAAUGGACUUUUAAAUUUGGACCUUUUAUUUGUUUUUUUAUUUUUGUUUUUAAAUUUUUUUGGGGUUUAUUUCGGGCUGGGCAAAUUGGGUUUACUACAUGGUCAUUUUUGACAUUUUUACAAAAUUACCCCUAAGUUUUACUUUUAUUAAAUUUAGUCCCUG